GACGAACGCUGGCGGCGUGCUUAACACAUGCCAGUCGAACGGAAAGGCCCUGCUUGCAGGGUACUCGAGUGGCGAACGGGUGAGUAACACGUGGGUGAUCUGCCCUGCACUUCGGGAUAAGCCUGGGAAACUGGGUCUAAUACCGGAUAGGAGCCAUUUUUAGUGUGAUGGUUGGAAAGUUUUUUCGGUGUAGGAUGAGCUCGCGGCCUAUCAGCUUGUUGGUGGGGUAAUGGCCUACCAAGGCGGCGACGGGUAGCCGGCCUGAGAGGGUGGACGGCCACAUUGGGACUGAGAGACGGCCCAGACUCCUACGGGAGGCAGCAGUGGGGAAUAUUGCACAAUGGGCGCAAGCCUGAUGCAGCGACGCCGCGUGGGGGAUGACGGCCUUCGGGUUGUAAACUCCUUUCGCUAGGGUCGAAGCUUUUUGUGACGGUACCUAGAUAAGAAGCACCGGCUAACUACGUG
RNAcentral lists this ribosomal RNA (465 nucleotides) under uncultured bacterium. RNAcentral describes it as "partial 16S ribosomal RNA". It matches the Rfam family "Bacterial small subunit ribosomal RNA", at positions 28 to 507 of the family's 1533-position model. The record is from RNAcentral.